GAUGUUUCUGUCUUUGGUUAUCUAGCUGUAUGAGUGUUGUGGAGCCAUCAUAAAGCUAGAUAACCGAAAGUAGAAAUGACUUCCAAACCUGCUCGCCCCCGGGGAAGAGGCUGCAGCAGGACCGGCGCCGCUGGAGCCCGGAGCAGAGGCGAGUCGCGGCCCCGCCACCUCGGGGCUCCAGACGUGACUGCGAGUUCGCGGAGUGGGAUGCCUUGGGAAGGGCUGGGACGUCUCCACCUGAGCGAGGAGAGGCCCCCGGAGCAGAAUGGAGGUGUAAUUGUGCUAAGGAGUUAGCAGGGGAGAGCGCAGCUUUUGGUCACAUUCAAGUUGGAGGUCUUGAGCCAGGGAGGAGAUCCCAGUGAGUGGAGAAGGGAUUUCUCAAGCCUGUGAGCUCCGUGUCACAGUUGGCUGCCGCCUGCCUGGGCUCGCUGUCUGAUGCCUCCAGGAUCCUCCAGGAGGGUCCCAACCUGCUGCAGCGAUGGCCCUGGCGAGGAGGCGGCUUUGGCUCGUGAACACGGAGGGUUCCUGCAGUGCUUCGGAUCACAGUCUGCAGCUGCGGGGAGGGACAGGGAACCAAGGGAAAAUCCCGCCUAACUCCUGUACACCUCCGGUACCCCAAAUACCCCCGGCAGAACCACAGCGCUCAGAUCCGAGCAAGCCACUGCCUCCACUGGCAAAACGCUGGGUGCACGAAGGGGGUGGGAGGGAGGUCAGAGCUGGCUGGACCCUGCUUUCAGCAGGUUUUUGCAGGCUGGGCUCUGCUCAUGGAGCAGGGCUUGGCCCUUGCUGCUCAUCCACGGGGGUGUGGAGCUGCGAGGGCGCAGCUGUCCUGGUGGCACCGUGUGUGUGGAGCCCACGGGACCGUGACUGUGUCCGGGCCGGGCAGCCCUGCUGCCGUUCUCUUGCACUGUUAAAAAAAAAAAAAAAAAAAAGUACUGUCUGUAAUCGUCUCCCAU
Molecule: long non-coding RNA, 956 nt
Organism: Cygnus olor (mute swan)
Lineage: Eukaryota; Metazoa; Chordata; Aves; Anseriformes; Anatidae
Exons: 4
Source: RefSeq, a predicted model, not a curated record